Molecule: ribosomal RNA, 466 nt
Filed under: uncultured bacterium
Lineage: Bacteria
Description: partial 16S ribosomal RNA
Rfam family: Bacterial small subunit ribosomal RNA
Source: RNAcentral
GAUGAACGCUGGCGGCGUGCUUAACACAUGCAAGUCGAACGAUGAAGCGCAGCUUGCUGGGUGGAUUAGUGGCGAACGGGUGAGUAACACGUGAGUAACCUGCCCUUAACUCUGGGAUAAGCCUGGGAAACUGGGUCUAAUACCGGAUAGGAGCGUCCACCGCAUGGUGGGUGUUGGAAAGAUUUAUCGGUUUUGGAUGGACUCGCGGCCUAUCAGCUUGUUGGUGAGGUAAUGGCUCACCAAGGCGACGACGGGUAGCCGGCCUGAGAGGGUGACCGGCCACACUGGGACUGAGACACGGCCCAGACUCCUACGGGAGGCAGCAGUGGGGAAUAUUGCACAAUGGGCGCAAGCCUGAUGCAGCGACGCCGCGUGAGGGAUGACGGCCUUCGGGUUGUAAACCUCUUUCAGUAGGGAAGAAGCGAAAGUGACGGUACCUGCAGAAGAAGCACCGGCUAACUACGUG